This 253-nucleotide ribosomal RNA is filed under the name uncultured bacterium. Its description in RNAcentral is "partial 16S ribosomal RNA". It matches the Rfam family "Bacterial small subunit ribosomal RNA", at positions 524 to 776 of the family's 1533-position model. The record is from RNAcentral.
AACGUAGGGGGCAAGCGUUGCCCGGAUUCACUGGGCGUAAAGCGGGUGUAGGCGGUUCUUUAAGUCAGAUGUGAAAUCCUGCGGCUCAACCGCGGAACUGCAUCUGAUACUGGGGAACUUGAGGACGGUAGAGGUCGGUGGAAUCCCCGGUGUACCGGUGAAAUGGGCAGAUAUCGGGGGGAACACCAGUGGCGAAGGCGGCCGACUGGGCCGAUCCUGACGCUGAGACCCGAAAGCCAGGGUAGCGAACCGG